This 732-nucleotide ribosomal RNA is filed under the name uncultured bacterium. Its description in RNAcentral is "bacterial SSU rRNA". It matches the Rfam family "Bacterial small subunit ribosomal RNA", at positions 34 to 761 of the family's 1533-position model. The record is from RNAcentral.
CGCUGGCGGCAGGCCUAACACAUGCAAGUCGAGCGGUAGAGAGAAGCUUGCUUCUCUUGAGAGCGGCGGACGGGUGAGUAAUGCCUAGGAAUCUGCCUGGUAGUGGGGGAUAACGUUCGGAAACGGACGCUAAUACCGCAUACGUCCUACGGGAGAAAGCAGGGGACCUUCGGGCCUUGCGCUAUCAGAUGAGCCUAGGUCGGAUUAGCUAGUUGGUGAGGUAAUGGCUCACCAAGGCGACGAUCCGUAACUGGUCUGAGAGGAUGAUCAGUCACACUGGAACUGAGACACGGUCCAGACUCCUACGGGAGGCAGCAGUGGGGAAUAUUGGACAAUGGGCGAAAGCCUGAUCCAGCCAUGCCGCGUGUGUGAAGAAGGUCUUCGGAUUGUAAAGCACUUUAAGUUGGGAGGAAGGGUUGUAGAUUAAUACUCUGCAAUUUUGACGUUACCGACAGAAUAAGCACCGGCUAACUCUGUGCCAGCAGCCGCGGUAAUACAGAGGGUGCAAGCGUUAAUCGGAAUUACUGGGCGUAAAGCGCGCGUAGGUGGUUUGUUAAGUUGGAUGUGAAAUCCCCGGGCUCAACCUGGGAACUGCAUUCAAAACUGACUGACUAGAGUAUGGUAGAGGGUGGUGGAAUUUUCUGUGUAGCGGUGAAAUGCGUAGAUAUAGGAAGGAACACCAGUGGCGAAGGCGACCACCUGGACUAAUACUGACACUGAGGUGCGAAAGCG